This is a long non-coding RNA of Mesocricetus auratus (golden hamster), 1456 nucleotides long. RefSeq lists it as uncharacterized. The transcript is spliced from 3 exons. Lineage: Eukaryota; Metazoa; Chordata; Mammalia; Rodentia; Cricetidae. The record is from RefSeq and is a predicted model, not a curated record.
CUUCAUGCUCUUGGGCACAAGAAUGUAAAAGCAAAGGUCAGUGAAACAGUCCAACUUCUCUGUCUUCACCAUUACAACUCAAGCUGCCGAUUGCUUCUUAUUCAGAUGGAGAACCAACUCUUCACUCAUGAGCCUACUUGAGAAAUAAAAGAACCAUAGAAUUCAUAGGAAACCACAAAAUUCUCAGAAUAACUACAACAGUUCUGAGUGAAAAAUACAAGUUGGAGGCACUGUGGCAACUAAAUGAUCUGGCCAUUUGACACUGAAUAACAUAUUGAUGAGCUCUUCCCUAAGGUGAAUAUGAUCAAAAUACAUGUACGAAACUGUCAAAGAACUAAUUUUAAAAAGUAUUAAAAGGGUGAAACAUUGCAUUAAGGGAUAUGAUAAAGUAUGGAGUUUCAUGUCAUAGUCAUGAUAGCAUAAAUUAGCACAGUUUUUCUCUUAAACAGUUUGGUUAUACCUAAGAAGAUCUUAUCGGUGACUAAUUCCUCUUCCCAAUAAUCUUUUAUUAGAAACUGAUCCUAGAAAAAUCAUUCUGACAGCAAACAAACAAACGACUUUCAUUUUCCAGGCAAAAGGUGUGAUUAAGUAAACCCUGAUAAGAUUAAGUAGAUUGUUCCCAUUAAAUAAUAACUUUGGUAGAGUAAUUGAAGUCUUGGACAUAACAACAAUAUUACAUAAGGUUAAAAAAUGCAAGUCUGAAGUUGCUUGUCCAUCAGGAAGUGUGUCUGAGUGCUCACAGAAUUUUCUGAAGGUAGUAGAGGGAAGCAGAUGAGCUCACUCAAGAAUGAAAGAUCUCCCUUCCACUCAAGUUUUUCUGUGGUUAUUAAAUCUCAUCAGGAUUUGUUCUUUGUCAGUGCUAUGUAGUGUGUGGGUAACUUCAAAUACCAUAACAUGCCUUUUCAUUAUAUGACAAAUGCAGAUCUCGUUGGUUUUGGUUUAAUGUUUAUUUUGGUUUUGAGGUGAAGUCUUUCUACGUAACUGAGGUGGCCUUCCAUGUGCAACUCUCUUCAGUCCCUGAGUGUUGGGAUCAUGGGUUUGUGCCAUCACACCCACUCAAACUUUAUAGUUUGGUAAUAUAUUUAAAUUUUUUCCCGUUUUGUUUUCCUCUUUUUUCUAAGAGUUGUUCCCCUCAGUCUCUGAUGUCACAUAGAUCUUUUCCCUUUCAUCUAUGAGUCUUCUAUUUCCUUAGGAUCAAUUUAUGUGUACGAUUAUAACUUUCCAUGUGCAUAACCAGUAACCUCAGCAAUGUCUUGAAAAGUCUCUGCUGUUCUGCAAGAUGAGUUCAGGUUGUCUUCUCGUGUAGUCUUGCUGUUCUAUCGCUCUGGCCAAAUUGUCUACCCUUGGGCCAGUGUUGAAUUUUGCUGCUUUUUGCAGUGUUGUUGGUGUCCAUGUUAAACUACUAAGUGCAGCUCUGUUGUGAUUUUCCUCCACAUAUUUUCUUAUUUGUUGGCCC